AAAAAAAACUCUUCCUGUUCACCUCUUAAAACCCAAAAACACACCGCAGUAGCAUCCUAAACUAAAACUACCAAUGUGUUCCCUGUUUUCCUUUCUGAACAAUUCAAAGGUCCCUCUCUAUCUCCCCACACAUCCACCAACCACUGGAACACAUCUCCAAAGUUCUGCAGGGCCAGCUCAGCUUCCCCUCAGAAGAAGUGCUGCCACCUGCCAGAUGAAGGAGCCUUUUGAGAGGCAGCUGGCAUCGUGAUUGGACUGUACUUUGGUCUGUUCCAAUCCAGCUUCAGCUCCAGAGACGGCAGGCGGGACGAGUCAACGGAGGCCGGGUGGACGAAGGCAUGCAGCUGAGUACAAUCCAGAAAACAACAGAGGAGGAGUGCAGCGACCAAAGAACUACAGACUCUUCACAACCUGCUCAAACUCUUGGUACAGGACCUCACCACACGGGUCAAGAAGGUUUCCAUCUCAUUUCUACUCUGAAGCUCACCUUCUCCUGCUCAAACUGCUGACAAAUGUUUCUGCUGCUCUAAAGUCUGCUCUCCAGAACUUCCUAAAAACUCUCAAAGUCUCUUCUGCUGCAGGUUGCUUUGUAGAACUGUUCCAGAAAACCUCACUAAACCACAUGGAGGGGCC
Amphiprion ocellaris (clown anemonefish) is the source of this 633-nucleotide long non-coding RNA. Lineage: Eukaryota; Metazoa; Chordata; Actinopteri; Pomacentridae. The record is from Ensembl.